Molecule: unclassified non-coding RNA, 358 nt
Filed under: uncultured fungus
Lineage: Eukaryota; Fungi
Description: partial contains small subunit ribosomal RNA, internal transcribed spacer 1, and 5.8S ribosomal RNA
Rfam family: Eukaryotic small subunit ribosomal RNA (bases 1-73)
Source: RNAcentral
GCAAACUUGGUCAUUUAGAGGAAGUAAAAGUCGUAACAAGGUUUCCGUAGGUGAACCUGCGGAAGGAUCAUUAACGAAACGUUUUGUCGAGAGGGGUUGCUGCUGGCCUUUCAGGGGGCAUGUGCACGCCUCGAUCGCAAUCCAACCUUCACACACCUGUGCACAGCGUGUAGCCCCCCUUGGAGAUGUCAACCGUGUGUGGGAUGGAAAUCCCCCUCGGGAUGCUUUGGGGGCUACGUUUUUUCCACAAAACUCAUCGAUGUAUCUGAACGAUAGUGUGUGGCGCCUUCACAAGCGCGAAUGAAAUACAACUUUCAGCAACGGAUCUCUUGGCUCUCGCAUCGAUGAAGAACGCAGC